RNAcentral lists this long non-coding RNA (480 nucleotides) under Bos taurus (domestic cattle). Its description in RNAcentral is "long non-coding RNA NONBTAT000094". The record is from RNAcentral. Lineage: Eukaryota; Metazoa; Chordata; Mammalia; Artiodactyla; Bovidae.
AUUUGUUUAAAAUUCUAAUGUAGUUUUGAAGUAUUCACACGUAUGUAUCAUUUUCUUUAUAACAAAAGCGAAAGCACUCUUCAAAGUCCAAAAUGCUGAAAUGCAAAGGGGAGACCUUGCUUCCUGACGUAGUACUAUCUUUUCUGAUUUAUCUCUCUCCUAGGAAGUAGGUAAUUUAAGUAGAAGGCCAAAAUAUUAAAAAUAGUACUCAGUGAUUUAUAAAGACUAAAACUGAGUUAACUUGUUUUAUAGAGGUAGAUUUUGGGCUAGAUUUUCAUUCUGUAAUAGUGUUGUGGUUUUACCUCUUUUCUUUUUUUCUUUCUUUUUUCAGGAGAUAUAACACAGGCAGUGUAGGUGUUGUCUAGAAAUGAAUUCACCAUAAGAUGGCCCCCUCUUCUAUUUAGAGAUUCCUUAGGGGAAAGCACUACCAGUGGCUUUGGUUUUGAUCUACGUAAAGGAAGUAUGACUUACAGAGCGCUG